Molecule: transfer RNA, 82 nt
Filed under: Ixodes scapularis (black-legged tick)
Lineage: Eukaryota; Metazoa; Arthropoda; Arachnida; Ixodida; Ixodidae
Description: tRNA-Ser
Rfam family: tRNA
About the family: Transfer RNA (tRNA) molecules are approximately 80 nucleotides in length.
Source: RNAcentral
GCAGUCGUGGCCGAGUGGUUAAGGCAAUGGACUAGAAAUCCAUUGGGGUCUCCCCGCACAGGUUCGAACCCUGUCGACUGCG